RNAcentral lists this transfer RNA (89 nucleotides) under Dehalococcoidia bacterium. RNAcentral describes it as "tRNA-Ser". It matches the Rfam family "tRNA". Rfam says of the family: Transfer RNA (tRNA) molecules are approximately 80 nucleotides in length. Their secondary structure includes four short double-helical elements and three loops (D, anti-codon, and T loops). The record is from RNAcentral. Lineage: Bacteria; Bacillati; Chloroflexota; Dehalococcoidia.
GGAGGGGUGCCAGAGCGGUUGAAUGGGACAGUCUCGAAAACUGUUGAUCUGCGUGAGCGGAUCCGUGGGUUCGAAUCCCACCCCCUCCG